This 260-nucleotide ribosomal RNA is filed under the name Salmonella enterica. RNAcentral's name for it is "partial 23S ribosomal RNA". It matches the Rfam family "Bacterial large subunit ribosomal RNA", at positions 504 to 766 of the family's 2925-position model. Lineage: Bacteria; Pseudomonadati; Pseudomonadota; Gammaproteobacteria; Enterobacterales; Enterobacteriaceae. The record is from RNAcentral. RNAcentral also lists the same sequence under 3 other names.
UGAGGGAAAGGCGAAAAGAACCCCGGCGAGGGGAGUGAAAAAGAACCUGAAACCGUGUACGUACAAGCAGUGGGAGCACCCUUUGGGGUGUGACUGCGUACCUUUUGUAUAAUGGGUCAGCGACUUAUAUUCUGUAGCAAGGUUAACCGUAUAGGGGAGCCGUAGGGAAACCGAGUCUUAACCGGGCGUUAAGUUGCAGGGUAUAGACCCGAAACCCGGUGAUCUAGCCAUGGGCAGGUUGAAGGUUGGGUAACACUAAC